This 539-nucleotide ribosomal RNA is filed under the name uncultured bacterium. RNAcentral describes it as "bacterial SSU rRNA". It matches the Rfam family "Bacterial small subunit ribosomal RNA", at positions 356 to 896 of the family's 1533-position model. The record is from RNAcentral.
GAGGAAUAUUGGUCAAUGGACGGAAGUCUGAACCAGCCAAGUAGCGUGCAGGAUGACGGCCCUAUGGGUUGUAAACUGCUUUUGUAUGGGGAUAAAGUCAAUCACGUGUGAUUGUUUGCAGGUACCAUACGAAUAAGGACCGGCUAAUUCCGUGCCAGCAGCCGCGGUAAUACGGAAGGCCCAGGCGUUAUCCGGAUUUAUUGGGUUUAAAGGGAGCGUAGGCUGGAGAUUAAGUGUGUUGUGAAAUGUAGACGCUCAACGUCUGAAUUGCAGCGCAUACUGGUUUCCUUGAGUACGCACAACGUUGGCGGAAUUCGUCGUGUAGCGGUGAAAUGCUUAGAUAUGACGAAGAACUCCGAUUGCGAAGGCAGCUGACGGGAGCGCAACUGACGCUUAAGCUCGAAGGUGCGGGUAUCAAACAGGAUUAGAUACCCUGGUAGUCCGCACAGUAAACGAUGGAUGCCCGCUGUUGGUACCUGGUAUCAGCGGCUAAGCGAAAGCAUUAAGCAUCCCACCUGGGGAGUACGCUGGCAACGGUG